Molecule: ribosomal RNA, 460 nt
Filed under: uncultured bacterium
Lineage: Bacteria
Description: partial 16S ribosomal RNA
Rfam family: Bacterial small subunit ribosomal RNA
Source: RNAcentral
CCUACGGGGGGCUGCAGUGAGGAAUAUUGGUCAAUGGACGAGAGUCUGAACCAGCCAAGUAGCGUGAAGGAAGACGGUCCUAUGGAUUGUAAACCUCUUUAGGCGGGGAGCAAUGCCGGGCACGCGUGCCCGGAGGGAGAGUACCCGCAGAAUAAGCAUCGGCUAACUCCGUGCGAGCAGCCGCGGUAAUACGGAGGAUGCGAGCGUUAUCCGGCUUUAUGGGGUUUAAAGGGUGCGUAGGCGGAUUUUUAAGUCAGCGGUAAAAUGUCCGGGCUCAACCCGGGCCGGCCGUUGAAACUGGGGAUCUUGAGUGGGCGAGAAGUAUGCGGAAUGCGUGGUGUAGCGGUGAAAUGCAUAGAUAUCACGCAGAACUCCGAUUGCGAAGGCAGCAUACCGGCGCCCGACUGACGCUGAGGCACGAAAGCGUGGGGAUCGAACAGGAUUAGAUACCCUUGUAGUC